Molecule: long non-coding RNA, 494 nt
Organism: Cucumis melo (muskmelon)
Lineage: Eukaryota; Viridiplantae; Streptophyta; Magnoliopsida; Cucurbitales; Cucurbitaceae
Exons: 2
Source: RefSeq, a predicted model, not a curated record
AUUAUAAAUCGUCUAAAUAUCUCUAUAGUGAAUAUCAUCUUAUGGAUUGAAUCAACUCCUAAUGGGCCGAAUUCUUCAAUCCGUUUGCUUCUUUCGGCCCAAUUAGAUUUAGGGUUUAUAUAUAAAUACUGCUUCAUCUCAUUUCACAAGUUGAUUCUACUGUCUUCACAUUUAUUCUUCCGCCGUUCGUCGACGCUUACCUGACAGAGAUCACUCGGACUUUUUUUGCAUCGUCGCCAUGAGAGCUAAGUGGAAGAAGAAGAGAAUGAGGAGGUUGAAGAGAAAGCGCCGAAAGAUGAGGCAGAGAUCGAAGUAGUGGCCGUUUUCUGAGGGAUGGUUUCCGACCUAGGGUUUUGGUUACUCUUUAGUUUUAUUUUUCUCAUGCGUAACUUGGGUUGUUUUUAAAUUGUUUUCUGAUCGAUACAUUUUGUUGUCUUGAAUCCAGAACUUGUUUUCCAGCCUUAUAGUUUUUAUCUACUGAUUUUUAUAUGCUA